Molecule: ribosomal RNA, 744 nt
Filed under: Staphylococcus sp. UPAR08
Lineage: Bacteria; Bacillati; Bacillota; Bacilli; Caryophanales; Staphylococcaceae
Description: bacterial SSU rRNA
Rfam family: Bacterial small subunit ribosomal RNA
Source: RNAcentral
GCUAUACAUGCAAGUCGAGCGAACAGAUAAGGAGCUUGCUCCUUUGACGUUAGCGGCGGACGGGUGAGUAACACGUGGAUAACCUACCUAUAAGACUGGGAUAACUUCGGGAAACCGGAGCUAAUACCGGAUAACAUAUUGAACCGCAUGGUUCAAUAGUGAAAGGCGGCUUUGCUGUCACUUAUAGAUGGAUCCGCGCCGUAUUAGCUAGUUGGUAAGGUAACGGCUUACCAAGGCAACGAUACGUAGCCGACCUGAGAGGGUGAUCGGCCACACUGGAACUGAGACACGGUCCAGACUCCUACGGGAGGCAGCAGUAGGGAAUCUUCCGCAAUGGGCGAAAGCCUGACGGAGCAACGCCGCGUGAGUGAUGAAGGUCUUCGGAUCGUAAAACUCUGUUAUCAGGGAAGAACAAAUGUGUAAGUAACUGUGCACAUCUUGACGGUACCUGAUCAGAAAGCCACGGCUAACUACGUGCCAGCAGCCGCGGUAAUACGUAGGUGGCAAGCGUUAUCCGGAAUUAUUGGGCGUAAAGCGCGCGUAGGCGGUUUUUUAAGUCUGAUGUGAAAGCCCACGGCUCAACCGUGGAGGGUCAUUGGAAACUGGAAAACUUGAGUGCAGAAGAGGAAAGUGGAAUUCCAUGUGUAGCGGUGAAAUGCGCAGAGAUAUGGAGGAACACCAGUGGCGAAGGCGACUUUCUGGUCUGUAACUGACGCUGAUGUGCGAAAGCGUGGGGAUCAAACA